CUUCCGUGGGCCUCGGCCCCGCCCCCUCGGGCCUUGCGGGAUCGCAGUGGGCCCCAGCCCUGUCCUGUGACCUCCACCACAACGGGCCCGCCCCCGCCCCUCCCUGCUGUACCGCCCCUCCCCCGCCCCAUCCCUGCUGUACCCCCCCUCCCCUGUACUUCCAUGUACCCCCCUCUCCCCAGCUGACCGCCGCAACCCUAGUGGUUCCCUCCUCUUGACCCUUCACCGCGUCCUCCUAACUCCUGUCCUGCCACCCCCCAAGCAGACUCCUCGUCCCCAGACCCUCUGGCGUGGAGAGGGGCGGGCUGCAGUCUGCUGCGGCCUCCUGCGCGCGGCCUGGGCUUUGGGUGUGGUCAGGCAGCGUCGAGGUGAGGUCACAGGGGUCGCGAGGAGAGAGAGCUGGGAGGGCCCUUCUUGCUCUCCCGGUCGUUACAGCCGUCUGCGGGCCCGCCGGCAGGGUCCUGAGAAUGAGCACUUAGGGCCGCCUUGAGUUGCUGGAGCCAUGGUGGGGGCCCGGGCGCGGGAGGGUGUCCUGGGGGGAGGCAAGUGCAGGGGGUUGCUGGAGCCGCUCCAGCCUGGGGUGACCGUAAUGAGAAAGAUGGCAGCAGAAGCUAGAGGGCACGGGACACCCAAUGGGAUCAACCCCACUGUGUCUCUGGCUGAGGCCCACACACCCGUCUGGCCAGUGGCUGACAGAUGGGCCUAGCAGACCCUGAUACGGCCUCCCUCUGCCUGAGGGGCUCAGGUAGCCGUGGGACCUUUCUUGGGAGCCCCUGCAGUGCAGACAGCAGCCCAAAGGGCCGGAGAUGGACAGCGGAAAGCACUUAUUUAAGGCCCUCCUGGGGAAGAAGCCAGAAUCGCAGCUGUCCCAAGAGGAUGGGCAGCCCUCUGCCACGCCGAGCCCAGCCGUGGCCUGGGGCCAGCCCAGCGCUCAGAGCAGCAGUCAGCAGGUGCUGCAGACUCAGGACUGGUUUCAGAUUCUGAAGGCUCCUCCCACAGAGGCUGAGGACCUGGCCCCCCCGCCCCGUCCUCCCACUUUGAUUGUUUCAUCUUUUUACCGCAAUCCGCUUCCGAGGUCUGCUCUCCAGCGACCGUGUGAGCCUGGUCCACAGCUGACCGUGGAGAAGUUUCCCUAAGAACGGUGAGGUCUGCCUUCUCAGACAGCUUCUGUGUUUCCCCGGAGGUGAUGCUGCGCCCUCCUGGCCCUCCCACUUCACCUUCAUUGUCUGUGCAUCGGUUGUGACUUCCCCCCAACCUUUCCAGCAAAGCCGUGACUUUCUGCUCACACGCGCCCUGACACCUCAGGUCUGGGAGCUCCGUUUCACCCUCGUGCCAGAGGGUAUUUAAGGCCUUGAGAGUUUAAAGUUGUGAGAAUACCUUUAUUCUGCUGACACGCCUGAGUGAUACCUCGUCUGGGUGAAGAUUCUAGGUGGGAAAUAGUUUACUUUCAGGAUUCUGAGGGCACGGUCCCAUCCCCUCCAGCUCCCAGGGCUGCGGCUCGCUGCCCCGGGCCAGGCGGCUUCUGUGUGCCCGGCUUGUCGGCCUCUGGAACCCAAGCUCUUGGUCCCCCUUGCCGUCGAUCUGAAGUGUCGCCGCACCGUGUGUCCUCUGGUGCCAGUCGGUUUCCUUUCUCGGUCCCUUCCAGCCUGGAGCCUGGCUCCUCCUGUGCGCACGUGUGUGUGUGU
This is a long non-coding RNA of Camelus dromedarius (Arabian camel), 1685 nucleotides long. The record is from Ensembl. Lineage: Eukaryota; Metazoa; Chordata; Mammalia; Artiodactyla; Camelidae.